UCAUAUGAUGAUAACACAUUCUUUUAUUUAUUUUCUGGUACCUCUUAUAUCAUCAGGCUAUUCGGCUUGAAAUGUAUUAAACGGACUUCUGAUC
Molecule: small nucleolar RNA, 94 nt
Filed under: Eutypa lata UCREL1
Lineage: Eukaryota; Fungi; Ascomycota; Sordariomycetes; Xylariales; Diatrypaceae
Description: A. fumigatus snoRNA Afu_264
Rfam family: A. fumigatus snoRNA Afu_264
Source: Rfam by way of RNAcentral